GGUAGUUUACUCAAGCUUGGUUAAAGGGUCUUGGUUUAGAACCAAGGGAUAUAGUUCUACACAGGUUCAAAUCCUGUAACUACCA
This 85-nucleotide transfer RNA is filed under the name Methanobrevibacter olleyae. RNAcentral's name for it is "tRNA_Pseudo_TAG". It matches the Rfam family "tRNA". Rfam says of the family: Transfer RNA (tRNA) molecules are approximately 80 nucleotides in length. Their secondary structure includes four short double-helical elements and three loops (D, anti-codon, and T loops). Lineage: Archaea; Methanobacteriati; Methanobacteriota; Methanobacteria; Methanobacteriales; Methanobacteriaceae. The record is from RNAcentral.